GAUCUUUGAAAGAGGAGAGGAACGAUCAAUGUUCGACAAAUAAUCAAUAUAUACGUCUGAAAUUUAGAAAAAUUUCGACGAAUUACAGAGAUUUAACAAACUGGGAUUGAGAAGUGAGAGAAAUAGCUAUUCACAUCUGAAGAUUGGAAAAAUUUAGAUAAAUAAGAAAGAUGAUCAUUUGUAAAUGAAAUUUAAAAAAAUUUCCACAUAUAAGAGAAUAGCUAUUCAUGUUUUUUUUAUGCUAUCUGAUUGGAACAAUCUUCACGAAUAAAAAUGAUUAUUUAAUAUAUAAAUGAGAUUUAAAAGAGUUUUGAAAAGUGAGAGAAAAUAGCUAUUCACAUUUUUAGAAAAAAUUUAAACAAAUGACAAAGAUGGUCAUUUAUUAUUAAAGUUUAAAGAAAUUUUGACAAAGAAUGAUUUCAUAUCUGCAAUUUAAUCCAAAUUUCAAUAAAUAACAAAAGAUUAUCGUUAUAAAUAAAAUUUAAAAAAAUUUUGAGAAGUAAAAGAAAUGGCUAUUCACGUCUAAAGUUUGAAAAAAUUUCAAUAGCUAAUAAAAAUGCUCAUUUACAAUUGAAAUUUAGAAAAAUUUCGACGAACAAGAGAAUGAUUUUACAUUUGGAAGAAUUUCGACAAACAAUAGAAAUGGUUACCUUGAAGUUCAGAAAAAUUUCUUCAAACUUAAAAGUUUAGUUUCGGUACAUUUUUCAGGGUCGCUUCAAAAUGACCUACAACAAUAGAGAACUUAAGAAAAAACCUAAGGAACCUUUAGAAAGGAUCUUAAGUUAUUAUUGAACGUGUGCUUGCAUAAACCCUUGAAAGGCUUUUCCAAGAAUUUACUUUGUUGGUCGAUCUGAUCCAAGGUCUAUGUUAUUCAGAAAUUGUAUCCAAGAAUUAUACAGGAUCGAUAAAUCUAUAUUAGAAUCAAGGAUAAUCAUUGAAAUACAAUAGGAUAGUUGGCCAAGGAUUAGUUCCUUUGAAUUUUAAGGGAUGAUUGUGUAUUAAUUUUCAAGACGCAGUGUCAAUAAUUUCCAAGAGAAAAAGGAAAAAACGAGAGAGAGAGGAAAAAAAGAAGAAAAAAAAAAAAGAGGGAAGAAACAGGUCGAGAAAAAUGUCCGUCGUAAAUCGAACGUUGAAUAUAAAUGAAGUGGAACUUCCUGAGCUUGGAAGAAUAGAACGCGUGGCCGCGAGACGAGAUCUAUCGUAUUUCAACCAUGAUAAUAAUAAAUGGAGCGAGCUUACGUGCACGAUAUAGUAGUGGACGCGAAGGUUUUCACCUUCGUUCACGCGGAUGUGUAAAUAAACAUUACUACUACUACUACUAUUACUACUACUGCUGCUAGCUGAUUGAACUUGAUAUUUUUCUUUUCCGUGUAUUCGUCAAUUUACGGGGAUACGGAUAUCUUUUGUUACAAGUCGAGCUCUAUUAGUCCCUAUUUACAUUUUUAAAUUUGUCUCGCGUAUUUUUUCGCGUUUAAAAAAAAUUUGCACCGUAUAAUUUCAUCCUGUAUUUUUUCGUGUUAUUUACACCGUGUUUUAGCCUUAUCUUCUUUAAAAAUAAAGUUCCAUUAAGGACGCCGACGGUGAAUGAAAGCAAAAAAAAUAAAUCGAGCUUAUCUCAAUGGAAGGGGAAAUUUAAAAGAGAAGAUGGAAAUUGUCUCUCUCUCUUUCUUUCUCUGUGAACGACGUAUUCUCGAUAUCGAUGACGAAGAAUCUUCACCGAUGACGUAAAAAAAAAAAAAAAAAUGAAAUUGCGAAAGCUGAAAGCGCGUAAGGGAAACUUUUUUUUUUUUUUUGCUUGAUGUACCGUGAAAUUUGAAAAUCGAUUAAACGGUUGACGUAAAUUUUCACGGUGCACACGGUACUAUGUGAAUCUGAACGAUGCAUUCUUAAAGCGAUGCAAUUCACAUCGACGCGAGAUAUUUUACAGGUUUUAAGAGAGGAGAAAUUUUAUAUUUGUUAUUAAAAUAAUAUUAUUAAAAUUAU
Apis cerana (Asiatic honeybee) is the source of this 1983-nucleotide long non-coding RNA. RefSeq lists it as uncharacterized. NCBI's taxonomy places the organism in Eukaryota, Metazoa, Arthropoda, Insecta, Hymenoptera, Apidae. The record is from RefSeq and is a predicted model, not a curated record.